This is a non-coding RNA of Cherax quadricarinatus, 1865 nucleotides long. The record is from RefSeq and is a predicted model, not a curated record. NCBI's taxonomy places the organism in Eukaryota, Metazoa, Arthropoda, Malacostraca, Decapoda, Parastacidae.
GACUCAAGUUGGCUGUCCACGACCAGACGACCAUUAAAAAGGAAGGGUAAGGAGAGAGUGCAGAGUAUAGAUCACCAUGGUGUUGCGAGCUUACGCUGUGACGAUAGCUGUAUUUCUUCUUGUUGUAGCCUGUGUGGUGAUUGUAUAUGGUUCUUUAGGUUAUGCCAGCAGACUUCAUUUUACAAACGUUUCUACGCAUUCGGGGCCACAAAAUCUCCAGCCAGUUACUCUGCAAGGAGAGAUUGGUGGUGGUGACUGGCUGGGUGAGGAACCAACUUCGAGGAAGGUCCCAGUAGCAGAGUGAUAGUCAGUUCCUCUGCUGGUGUUGGAGCCGCUGCCUUAUUCACAUAGAAUGGUUGCUGCUGCUGCUGCUGCUGCUGCUGCUGCUGCGGAUGCUGCUGCGGAUGCUGUUGCCGAGGCUAAUGCUGCUGAUUAUCCUGCUGAGAUGUUAUUGCUGCGGUUAAGGCUGCUUCUGCUGAGGCUGUGGAUGCUGCUGCUGAUGCUGCAAAGUGGGCCUCUAGUGUAUAAGACAGAUUUUGGAAGAUGCUAACUGAACGGUGAUGUUUCGAACCCUGGAAUGUGUUGCGGUUCCAGGCAGUAUACUAGUCUUCUACCUAGACGUCAUAAAGGCUACAGUCGAGGCAUAUCCAUAGUGGUGUCGAGCAGCUCCGGUGAACCACAAGCUUUGGCCUCCUGUAUUUUAAGGAUCAAUUUUUUUCUUUACGCAAUUAAGUCUGUUAAAACUAUGCUACAACUUAAGGUACUUUUAAUUUUAUAUAUGCACCAGUAAAUAGUUUUUUGUAAAAAAACUUAUCUAUUAAACUAGAAAUGUCUUCUUAAAAACCUGUACAAAUUUUAAUGCUACGAGACAGGCAGUUCCAUUUAAGACAACUCGAGGUAAUUUUCAAGUCAACGUGUUUACUUCAUAAUUUAAAAGGUGUUCAAGACCUAGAGUGAACCUUACCAACGAGAAUUUGGAGGGUUCAGUGUGUAGAUAAAUGGUUCAGAGAACAGACAAGUUGAUAAAUUAGACACGUGCAACACUCGGGUAUCUUUAAUGAGGAAACGUUUCGUCACACAGUGACUUCAAAGAAGAAUGGUGAAGAACAGGAGUAGUUUGAGGUGAUCAGUUCCUCGGCCUUGAGUUGAUGUGGUCAGCCCAUCAAUCUUGAAAAAGAAUACAGCAAUAUCUGCUGAGAAGUAUUCUUUUCAAGAUUGAUGGACUGACUACAUCAACUCAAGGGUGAGGAACUGAUCACCUCAUUCCUCCUGUUCUUCACCAUUCUUCUUUGUAUUGACUGAUGGUCACUGUGUGGCGAAACGUUUCCUCAUUAAAGAUAUCCAAGUGUUGCACAUGUCUAAUUUAUCAGGGUUCAGUGUACGCUCUCCUGACACCUCCCCCUCCCUCCCACCCAACCGCUAAAACCUUGUACGUUAAUUUACAGACUGACACACUCUUGUCCCUGCCAUAACCUGCUUGCUGGUGUACCUUGUGGCUAGCAACCGAUUGUGGAAGUUAACUUUUCCCCACUAUUUACGCCUCUUCAUAGUCAUGGCUCUUAUAAUUUUUGGAAUACCUGUAAUCUCAAACUUCACAUUGUCUGAUAUGAGUUUAGAUAAUGCUGGUUAUUUUAUCUUCUCUUUUUUAGUAGUUUUUGGGUUUUCCCGCAUUUAUUUCUUUAGUCUAGACCGGGGGUGGGUGGGGGCUCCCAAUCUCUUGUAUGCCCCGUUUCCCUGGGAACUAAAUACAGUACUGCGGGUGAGUAAAGCUUACUCAAAAUAAGCUUUUUAAUUCUGUGCAUAAAAUGUAACUGUAAAAUGAGCAAUUAGAAAAGUUUUUGGUACAAUAAACUGAAUUUUUUUUU